GCCCAUGUAGCUCAGUCGGUAGAGCGUUAGGCUUUUAACCUAAAUGUCCAGGGUUC
This is a non-coding RNA of Trichuris suis (pig whipworm), 56 nucleotides long. Lineage: Eukaryota; Metazoa; Nematoda; Enoplea; Trichinellida; Trichuridae. The record is from Rfam.